Molecule: ribosomal RNA, 261 nt
Filed under: uncultured archaeon
Lineage: Archaea
Description: partial 16S ribosomal RNA
Rfam family: Archaeal small subunit ribosomal RNA
Source: RNAcentral
AGGGUGUAAACGCUGCAGACUUGGUGUUGGAAGCCCUUUGGGGGCAUUCAGUGCCGGAGAGAAGUUGUUAAGUCUGCUACUUGGGGAGUACGUCCGCAAGGAUGAAACUUAAAGGAAUUGGCGGAGGAGCACCGCAACGGGAGGAGCGUGCGGUUUAAUUGGAUUCAACACCGUAAAACUCACCAGGGAAGACUGUUACAUGAAGGCCGAGAUGAAGACUCUGCUAGAUUUUCAGAGAGGAGGUGCAUGGCGUCAGUGACU